AAACAAAUAAAUAUCUCUUCUCAAACGACCUUCUUUACUAUUUUUUUAUAUAACAAUUAACAAAGAACAUUCAACUUUUGUUUUUAUCUAACAAAGAGCAUUCAACUUUUGUUUUUAUCUAACAAAGAACAUUCAACUUUUGUUUUUAUCUAACAAGGAACAUUCAACUUUCAGUCAUAGACCAACGACAGUACAGUACACCAGUUUCCAAAUCAUUUUAAUGAUCUCACAUCUACUAUCAGACCGGCCGAUGGUUUUCCUAAACCGGGCAAAAGAUAGUUGUUAGAACCUUCGCCGCCGUUUCCCAACCCUCUGGUAGUGGUUAGGGGAUGAACCGGUAUAAGGAGUUGAAGAAGAUAUGUCCGGAACAAACACUGAGUGAUGGUGAUGUUUGGGCCAGUUGAGACCAGAAGCUGUUGGUGGAGAAUGAAUCUGUGGAACCGCCCAUGAUGUCUCAC
Molecule: long non-coding RNA, 458 nt
Filed under: Eutrema salsugineum
Lineage: Eukaryota; Viridiplantae; Streptophyta; Magnoliopsida; Brassicales; Brassicaceae
Description: long non-coding RNA (ESAL_LNC000018)
Source: RNAcentral